RNAcentral lists this ribosomal RNA (459 nucleotides) under Acinetobacter baumannii OIFC032. Its description in RNAcentral is "bacterial SSU rRNA". It matches the Rfam family "Bacterial small subunit ribosomal RNA", at positions 55 to 508 of the family's 1533-position model. Lineage: Bacteria; Pseudomonadati; Pseudomonadota; Gammaproteobacteria; Moraxellales; Moraxellaceae. The record is from RNAcentral.
AUGCAAGUCGAGCGGGGGAAGGUAGCUUGCUACCGGACCUAGCGGCGGACGGGUGAGUAAUGCUUAGGAAUCUGCCUAUUAGUGGGGGACAACAUCUCGAAAGGGAUGCUAAUACCGCAUACGUCCUACGGGAGAAAGCAGGGGAUCUUCGGACCUUGCGCUAAUAGAUGAGCCUAAGUCGGAUUAGCUAGUUGGUGGGGUAAAGGCCUACCAAGGCGACGAUCUGUAGCGGGUCUGAGAGGAUGAUCCGCCACACUGGGACUGAGACACGGCCCAGACUCCUACGGGAGGCAGCAGUGGGGAAUAUUGGACAAUGGGGGGAACCCUGAUCCAGCCAUGCCGCGUGUGUGAAGAAGGCCUUAUGGUUGUAAAGCACUUUAAGCGAGGAGGAGGCUACUUUAGUUAAUACCUAGAGAUAGUGGACGUUACUCGCAGAAUAAGCACCGGCUAACUCUGUGC